This 1374-nucleotide long non-coding RNA is filed under the name Capra hircus (goat). Its description in RNAcentral is "lncRNA (ENSCHIG00000004452.1)". Lineage: Eukaryota; Metazoa; Chordata; Mammalia; Artiodactyla; Bovidae. The record is from RNAcentral.
GGAAUCACAGAGUCAGACACGCAGUAUCCUCGCUUGAACUUGAUUGCCUCAUUGAAAACCCAAUUUCUGGUUAAGGUCACAUUCUGAGCUACUCUGGGGGGUGGGAUUACAAUAUAUCUUUUUGGAAGAAGAGAAUUCGACCCAUAACUUGAGCUACUUUGGACAAGUUACUUGACAUCUGCAUACUUCAUUUUCUUUAUCUGCAGAACAGAUAAUAUUGGGUUGACCAAGAAGUUUGUUCAGAUUUUUUCUGUACCAUCUUACAGGAAAACCUGAAGGAACUCUGUGGACAACCCAAUGCAUCAUAAUACUAACCUCACCGGGCUGUUGGGAUGGUUGACUAAGUGAACAUGUAAAUAACAUGCUUGGAACAGAAGGCGCUUCGUGGGUGCCCUGGGAGAGAGAGUAACUCCUAUCAUGAUCCCUCCUCACGGUCACAGACCUGUAGGAGGUGUGGACGCUUGCUGAGGAUGUGAAGUUGAAUUGGGACUGAGAGGUGGCUCUGAGGGACGCUGGUAUGGAGCUCAGUGUCACCUUGUGUGGCUGACUGCACCCAGAGAGCCCUGAGCCUGAUCUGGAAUUAACUCUCUCCUUCUUUUUCAAAGAAUUGUUUUCAAAGCUGGUGAGGCUUGGAUACUCCUCAGGGAGCCAGGGAGAGCUUCAGUCCUCAGUCUUCAACCUGGUGAAAUCCCACCAACAAGGCUUUAUCAUCUACAAAGCAGCCCUUUCUGGUACAGAUGGGAUCAGAAUACAUUUCACCCGAGUCCUGUUUCACGUGCCAGUACUAUUGAUGCCCUACCUUUACUGGCUUAGUGUAGCCAGAUCAAGCCUGAGACACCCCAAGGACCUGUGCUCCGUGAAUCAUGCUUGGAAUUUCCUUACUUGUUGGUAUUUGCCCCCCGAAGGAGCCGAAGACACGGCCCUGGUGGGUGUGAGCAGUGCAAGUCCUCAGGCAGCAGCUCUCAGCCCUGGCAGGGGGUACAGAGACCACGCAGGAACUUGAAGGACUCCAAGGAAUCUCUUCGUGUGAUUCACUGCACCAGAGCCUUCCUUCCAGCUGCCAAAGCCUGCGGAGCCCGCCUGUGACAGCCUGCCCUGGGGGCUGGAGUGUUGCGAAGACGGCAAAUCAAAGCUGGCUCAGCCCGAAGCCUGCAUGCCUGUUGGGAGGGCUGGCAGGUGCCGUGCCCAGGUGGGGUUUCUUAUGUAACGUGACACAUGGAUGAGCCGGCCGUGGGUGUACCCGGGGCCUGGCAGGGUGACUCAGGCCCCGCCAUCACUGCUUCCCAGAAACGUGGCACUCAGGUGUCAGCUGAGCAAACGUUCUGUGUGUCACUGUGAUUGUUAGAAAGCAAAGGAGGGUCCCAUGACGCAGUG